Molecule: ribosomal RNA, 387 nt
Filed under: Triticum aestivum (bread wheat)
Lineage: Eukaryota; Viridiplantae; Streptophyta; Magnoliopsida; Poales; Poaceae
Description: partial small subunit ribosomal RNA
Source: RNAcentral
AUGGCCAAUGUUGGAGGCAAUCAGGAGGAGGUAUAUGAUGUGGAGAUGCUCAACCGCGAGCUCUUAGAGUCUCAUCAAUAUACCAUCAAGGCCCUGCAGGAGGUGAAUGCCUUGCUGAAGGCGGAGACAGGUCAGCUGCUGAACGAGAAGGUUGAUCUCUCCAAGAAAACUGUUAGGAUGAGGGACGAGAGAUAUCGGCUGAUCGAGGAGAGGGAUAAGCUGAAGAAUGAGAAAAAACUCCUUAGGGCCGAGAGGAAUGCGCUUAAGAUGAAGGUAGCUCAUUUCAAAAAAGAUGGAGAGAACGGUAGACACAAGAUUCGUCAGUCGAAAUUAAUCUUAGAUCAAGAAAUAUGUUUGACCAACUACCAGGCUCGCUUAGGAAGAUGA